AUUGAACGCUGGCGGCAGGCCUAACACAUGCAAGUCGAGCGGGUGAAGGGAGCUUGCUCCUGGAUUCAGCGGCGGACGGGUGAGUAAUGCCUAGGAAUCUGCCUGGUAGUGGGGGAUAACGUCCGGAAACGGGCGCUAAUACCGCAUACGUCCUGAGGGAGAAAGUGGGGGAUCUUCGGACCUCACGCUAUCAGAUGAGCCUAGGUCGGAUUAGCUAGUUGGUGGGGUAAAGGCCUACCAAGGCGACGAUCCGUAACUGGUCUGAGAGGAUGAUCAGUCACACUGGAACUGAGACACGGUCCAGACUCCUACGGGAAGCAGCAGUGGGGAAUAUUGGACAAUGGGCGAAAGCCUGAUCCAGCCAUGCCGCGUGUGUGAAGAAGGUCUUCGGAUUGUAAAGCACUUUAAGUUGGGAGGAAGGGCAGUAAGUUAAUACCUUGCUGUUUUGACGUUACCAACAGAAUAAGCACCGGCUAACUUCGUG
This 484-nucleotide ribosomal RNA is filed under the name uncultured bacterium. Its description in RNAcentral is "partial 16S ribosomal RNA". It matches the Rfam family "Bacterial small subunit ribosomal RNA", at positions 30 to 507 of the family's 1533-position model. The record is from RNAcentral.